Small nucleolar RNA from Labeo rohita (rohu), 88 nucleotides. RefSeq annotates it as small nucleolar RNA SNORD70. The transcript has a single exon. Lineage: Eukaryota; Metazoa; Chordata; Actinopteri; Cypriniformes; Cyprinidae. The record is from RefSeq and is a predicted model, not a curated record.
AAAGCUGUGUGUCUAUGAUGUAUUUGUAUGUCUGACUCAACCAUGAGGUCAACAAACAGUUCGUCACUACCACUGAGACCACAGAUUU